This 429-nucleotide ribosomal RNA is filed under the name Actinomycetes bacterium. RNAcentral's name for it is "Actinobacteria bacterium partial 16S ribosomal RNA". It matches the Rfam family "Bacterial small subunit ribosomal RNA", at positions 355 to 776 of the family's 1533-position model. Lineage: Bacteria; Bacillati; Actinomycetota; Actinomycetes. The record is from RNAcentral.
UAGGGAAUCUUCCGCAAUGGGCGAAAGCCUGACGGAGCAACGCCGCGUGAGUGAUGAAGGUCUUCGGAUCGUAAAACUCUGUUAUUAGGGAAGAACAAAUGUGUAAGUAACUAUGCACGUCUUGACGGUACCUAAUCAGAAAGCCAAGGCUAACUACGUGCCAGCAGCCGCGGUAAUACGUAGGUGGCAAGCGUUAUCCGGAAUUAUUGGGCGUAAAGCGCGCGUAGGCGGUUUUUUAAGUCUGAUGUGAAAGCCCACGGCUCAACCGUGGAGGGUCAUUGGAAACUGGAAAACUUGAGUGCAGAAGAGGAAAGUGGAAUUCCAUGUGUAGCGGUGAAAUGCGCAGAGAUAUGGAGGAACACCAGUGGCGAAGGCGACUUUCUGGUCUGUAACUGACGCUGAUGUGCGAAAGCGUGGGGAUCAAACAGG